GCCAGGGAAUUACGAGCCCAAGCUUAAAACCCAAAGGACUUGACGGUGCCCCACCCUCCUAGAGGAGCCUGUUCUAUAAUCGAUUCUCCCCGAUCUACCUCUCCGCCUCUUGAAUAACCAGUCUGUAUACCUCCGUCGCAAGCUUACCAUGUGAACGCACAGUGAGCCAAAAGAUCCAUCACCCAAACGUCAGGUCAAGGUGCAGCCCACGAAGCGGGAAGAAAUGGGCUACAAUCUCUACACUAGAACAAACGGAAAACUGUAUGAAACACAGUUAUGAAGGCGGAUUUAGUAGUAAAAAGAAAACAGAGUGUUCUUUUUAACUAGGCGCUGGGACGCGUACACACCGCCCGUCACCCUCUUCAAACAAACUAAAAAGUUACUGACACAAUACCACUAAACAGAAGAGGCAAGUCGUAACACGGUAAGUGUACUGGAAAGUGCACUUGGAACAAAAUGUAACUUAAUCAAAGUAUCCUGCUUACACCAAGAUUAUGUCCGUGAAAUUCUGACCAUUUUGAGCCUAAAUCUCAGCCCUAUUAACCCCUAUGAAAUUUUUACUCCAAUUUUUUCCCCCCCCCAAAACAUUUUUUCAACCCAGUAUAGGCGAUUAAAAAGUUACUAGGAG
Molecule: ribosomal RNA, 628 nt
Filed under: Choerophryne laurini (Wandammen Albericus frog)
Lineage: Eukaryota; Metazoa; Chordata; Amphibia; Anura; Microhylidae
Description: Albericus laurini (Wandammen Albericus frog) partial 12S ribosomal RNA
Rfam family: Bacterial small subunit ribosomal RNA (bases 1-462)
Source: RNAcentral